UGGGUAGUCAUUUUUGCUGUAGUGUAGUGGGACGACAGGAUGUAUAGGAAGUAGAUUUCAGACUUUAUAGCCGGGGGAGUUAAUUAUGUUAAAAAUAAAAGGGCUAUAUUCAUGCAAUAUAUAUAUAUAUAUAUAUAUAUUCCUAGUUUACGUAGUGAUCCCAAUUUAUUAGGUUUACCCAACGGGCUAAACCAUAAGCUAACCAUGCGGCUGAGAAUGAAUUGUUUAAAACUAAAACGUGAUGUUUGUUGUUCUUUGUGCUGGGCAAACGCAGCCAAAAUAUGUUAGCUGGCUAUUCAGCAAAAUACUUCGUGCAGGGGCCGUCCAAAUACUGGAAGGAAACUUGCAAGCAUACGUUGAAGGCUUCUUUCAUCGUUUCUGUGUUCCCGCUAUUCAUUAAUCUUCAGUCUACAAACUUCUUGUGUCAAGCCAAGAAAAAGUUCAGCAUUUACUGAGAGAACGAAGACUGCAACCGAAGGAAAUCCUGCCCACUAUCCCACCAGUAAUUCAUGUAGAGAUGCAUUAGCCACACUGAAGAUUCCAUGGAUAUUAACUCGCACUUUAACUUUAACUUUUGAAUUAUCACCAUCGUUUUGGGGACCAACAUUUUGAAUAACAAAAUGGCCUAAACAACACAGCAAUAUGGCAC
Long non-coding RNA from Protobothrops mucrosquamatus (brown spotted pit viper), 649 nucleotides. RefSeq lists it as uncharacterized. The transcript has 3 exons. The record is from RefSeq and is a predicted model, not a curated record. NCBI's taxonomy places the organism in Eukaryota, Metazoa, Chordata, Lepidosauria, Squamata, Viperidae.